UGGUGGAGUGAUUUGUCUGGUUAAUUCCGAUAACGAACGAGACCUCAGCCUGCUAACUAGUGGAUUUAAUCAUCAGUAUGGGUGAAGUUUGAAGGCGUGAGGUGCCUUCGUGUAUCUUUCUCUUCAAAUGGAUCCUUGACGAAUUAAAUCUUUAUCAACAAAUUGGUCCUAAAAACCAAUACUUCUUAGAGGGACUAUUCGCGUCUAGUGAAUGGAAGUUUGAGGCAAUAACA
This 233-nucleotide ribosomal RNA is filed under the name uncultured eukaryote. Its description in RNAcentral is "partial 18S ribosomal RNA". It matches the Rfam family "Eukaryotic small subunit ribosomal RNA", at positions 1299 to 1458 of the family's 1831-position model. The record is from RNAcentral.